Molecule: ribosomal RNA, 773 nt
Filed under: uncultured bacterium
Lineage: Bacteria
Description: bacterial SSU rRNA
Rfam family: Bacterial small subunit ribosomal RNA
Source: RNAcentral
GGAACUGCGUUNUGAACUGGGUAGCUAGAGUAUGUCAGAGGGGGGUAGAAUUNCACGUGUAGCAGUGAAAUGCGUAGAGAUGUGGAGGAAUACCGAUGGCGAAGGCAGCCCCCUGGGAUAAUACUGACGUUCAUGCUCGAAAGCGUGGGUAGCAAACAGGAUUAGAUACCCUGGUAGUCCACGCCCUAAACGAUGUCGAUUAGCUGUUGGGCAACUUGAUUGCUUAGUAGCGUAGCUAACGCGUGAAAUCGACCGCCUGGGGAGUACGGUCGCAAGAUUAAAACUCAAAGGAAUUGACGGGGACCCGCACAAGCGGUGGAUGAUGUGGAUUAAUUCGAUGCAACGCGAAGAACCUUACCUGGUCUUGACAUGUACGGAAGAACUCAGAGACGAGUUUGUGCCUUCGGGAACCGUAACACAGGUGCUGCAUGGCUGUCGUCAGCUCGUGUCGUGAGAUGUUGGGUUAAGUCCCGCAACGAGCGCAACCCUUGUCAUUAGUUGCCAUCAUUUAGUUGGGCACUCUAAUGAGACUGCCGGUGACAAACCGGAGGAAGGUGGGGAUGACGUCAAGUCUUCAUGGCCCUUAUGACCAGGGCUUCACACGUCAUACAAUGGUCGGUACAGAGGGUAGCCAAGCCGCGAGGUGGAGCCAAUCCCAGAAAACCGAUCGUAGUCCGGAUUGCACUCUGCAACUCGAGUGCAUGAAGUCGGAAUCGCUAGUAAUCGCAGGUCAGCAUACUGCGGUGAAUACGUUCCCGGGUCUUGUACACACC